This 343-nucleotide unclassified non-coding RNA is filed under the name soil metagenome. Its description in RNAcentral is "partial contains 5.8S ribosomal RNA, internal transcribed spacer 2, and large subunit ribosomal RNA". The stretch from base 1 to 120 matches the Rfam family "5.8S ribosomal RNA", at positions 35 to 154 of the family's 154-position model. The record is from RNAcentral.
GAUGAAGAACGCAGCGAAAUGCGAUAAGUAAUGUGAAUUGCAGAAUCCAGUGAAUCAUCGAAUCUUUGAACGCACAUUGCGCCCGCCAGCAUUCUGGCGGGCAUGCCUGUUCGAGCGUCAUUUCAACCCUCGACCUCCCCUUGGGGAGGUCGGCGUUGGGGACCGGCAGCACACCGCCGGCCCUGAAAUGGAGUGGCGGCCCGUCUGCGGCGACCUCUGCGUAGUAAUACAGCUCGCACCGGAACCCCGACGCGGCCACGCCGUAAAACCCCCAACUUCUGAACGUUGACCUCGAAUCAGGUAGGACUACCCGCUGAACUUAAGCAUAUCAAUAAGCGGAGGA